Molecule: ribosomal RNA, 816 nt
Filed under: uncultured Bacteroidota bacterium
Lineage: Bacteria; Pseudomonadati; Bacteroidota
Description: bacterial SSU rRNA
Rfam family: Bacterial small subunit ribosomal RNA
Source: RNAcentral
GCAGGCGGGUCAGUAAGUCAGGGGUGAAAGUUUGCGGCUUAACCGUAAAAUUGCCUUUGAUACUGCUGGUCUUGAGUUGCGGUGAAGUGGCUGGAAUAUGUGGUGUAGCGGUGAAAUGCAUAGAUAUCACAUAGAACACCGAUUGCGAAGGCAGGUCACUAACCGCCGACUGACGCUGAUGGACGAAAGCGUGGGGAGCGAACGGGAUUAGAUACCCCGGUAGUCCACGCCGUAAACGAUGGACACUAGCUGUCGGGCCGCUUUAGGUUCGGUGGCUAAGCGAAAGUGAUAAGUGUCCCACCUGGGGAGUACGUCGGCAACGAUGAAACUCAAAGGAAUUGACGGGGGCCCGCACAAGCGGUGGAGCAUGUGGUUUAAUUCGAUGAUACGCGAGGAACCUUACCAGGGCUUAAAUGUAGUGGGACAGGGGUAGAGAUACCUUUUUCUUCGGACUCAUUACAAGGUGCUGCAUGGUUGUCGUCAGCUCGUGCCGUGAGGUGUCAGGUUAAGUCCUAUAACGAGCGCAACCCCUACCGUUAGUUGCCAGCGAGUAAAGUCGGGGACUCUAACGGAACUGCCGGUGCAAACCGCGAGGAAGGUGGGGAUGACGUCAAAUCAUCACGGCCCUUACGUCCUGGGCUACACACGUGCUACAAUGGCCGGUACAAUGAGCAGCCACGUCGCAAGGCGGAGCGAAUCUAUAAAACCGGUCACAGUUCGGAUCGGGGUCUGCAACCCGACCCCGUGAAGCUGGAAUCGCUAGUAAUCGGAUAUCAGCCAUGAUCCGGUGAAUACGUUCCCGGGCCUUGUACACAC